UGUGUUAAGUGUAUACAAAAUUUUGUGAUAAUUUAACGGUGUGGUUUAGAGAUAUCUAGUUUUUAGCACAAGAGGAUUUUAGAAGGUGGAAGUUUGAGGUUGGGUAGGGUUUUUAUAAUAUCUAAAGAUCUAUUAGUCGGAUUAAGGUGAAAAUUGGCAUGGUAUUGGAGGACUUAAAGAUCAAGCUAUACACCAAUUUUGAGAUAAGGUUAACGAUUGAAGAAGGAAAAAUCAUUGCUGGGAUUUUUGCUUCACUUUUCAAGUUGGCGACCGAGUGACAUUGGUACAAUUUUUGGAGGUUUUAUCACAAUGUGUAAGUUGAAUUGGGCUAAAAAUUCAUGAGCAAUUAAAAGACUUGCAUUGAUAAUUGCAUGCAAAAUUCUACAUCAAGUGGACGAUCAGAUUGGAUGUUACAACUUGUUAAAGCUCAUUGAUGAGGAUUGGGAUGUACAAGAAAAAUCUAAAUUGCUUAAAUAUGAAAGUAACAAGGUAAUUGGAAUUUAUGUAUAGUUAAGACUACUAAAAAGAGUGUUUUAAGCAUUUUUUAAUUGAAAUUCAGAUUAUAUUCUUCUCGCAUAGGUGAAACCUAUUAGGAUUACUUGGCUACUUAUGAAACAUAAUCUCACCUUCUACAACUAAGUGCCCGGUGCAUUCCUGAGCAAAACAAUACGUAAUGCGAUAUAAGUGGUGAAUCCGACGUGAGAGUUUGGGGUGGAAGGUAUUGGAUUAUAUUUGUGGUUAUUUGAAAUUGAUGGCGCAAGAAGGUAAGAAGGUUGAAUUUGGACUUUUUAUGGAGCUUUAGGUGGAGCUUAAAGUGGAUUUUCAAGCACAACUUCAAGUGGUAUUUUCACAUGUAUUGAAGGAUGAAUAUUUUUUGGAGGAAACUUGAUCAAGUUACCAAGAAAUCAUUCGUAGAAUGGAUUGAGCGACCUACCAAAAAUUUUCAAGCUACAGAAUUAUUAAGAGAAUUUGAAAGGUAAUUUUCUUGAUUAUCAAAAAUGGAAAAGUUAACAUUGGGACCAAAUAAGGUUGAAUUGUUUCUUCAAGCUGCUAAUGAAGAAUUACAAGAGAAGUUAGAGGUUCUUCUUGAAGAUAAAGAAGAAGAGGAAGGAUUUACACCAAAGUAGAGAGCUAUUGAAGAUGCUAUUAGAUUACUUACAAAAAUAGAAAAGAAAAAUGAUAGGUUUAGUACUCAAAGAGUAGUACAAGUAAUAAAGAUUCCAAUGCCUACUAGGAGAUUGACUAUGCCUAUUGUCCAACCUCCAUUAGCUAUACCAAAGAAAGAAGAUAUGGGACUUGAGGAGAUUGUACGAUCGAUGCGAGAUCUUCAAAUCAAACUUGCGAGGCUUGAAGAAAAGACUUCUACAAUAAGUUCAAAGGUUCCUUUUAAACAAGGAUAUAUACAAAGAUAUAUUUGGUGUGAUGAUGAUUUUCAUUCUCAAAAAGAUUGUGGUGAAUUUAAUGAGAUGGUACAACAAGGCAUUGUUUAUUGGAAAGAUGGGAAGAUUGCAUUGAAAGAUACUAGUGAUCUUCUCCAAACCAACUUUGGUAAAAGAGGAAUGAAAGCAUUGGUUAAAGAUUAUCUGUCAACAGAUGGAAUUGCGGCAAUAGAAGCUUCAAGUUAUGGAACUAGGGUAGAUAAUAAUGGCAAAUAAAAUUUUAUUAAAAAUUUUCAACUAAGUGGACUAUGAUCUUCUGCUAUUUCUACAAUGUAAACAAAGAAGAUGCUAUGGAAAGCUUUAUUAAGAACUGCUACAACAAUUCGUGGUGCUAUAGAUUGACAAGAUCUUGUAGAAGCUUUGUCAGUACAUGCAUAUAUUGCUAAAAGUGAAUAUGAAGCUUUAAUGGAAGAAAAGAGGAGAAGAAAUUUUGAUGAUUAAAGAGAAGAAAAUUCUUCUAAAAGACAAACUCGUGCAUUGGCUUCAUAAGAAUUGCCCACAAAAGAUACUUCAAUAAUAUCGGAAGAAAAAGCAAAGGAGAUGAAAGAUAAAGGUAAAUUGACAACUUAUAAACUACUCUCUGAUAUUGAAGCAGCAACAAAUUUAAAGGGAGUGCUUGAGGAACGUGUGCUCAAUGCUAAGGUUGAAUUUACAUUGAAAGAAAUUUUAAGAAUUGUCAAGAAAGAAUUUCAUGAUGUCAUUAUUGAUAUUAUUAAACAAAAGAGGCAAUUAAUGGGAGAAGCUAGAUUAAAUCAUGAUGUUGAUGCACACAUAUAUAAAAGUGAAGAAGAUGUAUUCGAUAAUUAUUACAAACAAUCAACAAGUAAAGGGAGGUGUCAUAAUCAAAGGGUAUGUUUUGAUGAUCAAGGUAAUAAAGAUAGAGAGGUUUGAAGUCAUUAUACUCAAAAGCAUUGGGUUAAAACAACAAUAGAGGCAUUAGUAGAGAUUGGAGAUAUGGAUGAAUCGAUUGUUGCUUUGAUUGACUAUAGUUCAGAGAUAAAUCUUAUGUCUAAAGAUCUUUAUAUGAAGCAAAGGUGGCCAAUUGAUAUAGAGCAUGGAUGGAUAAUACAUGUAGCUAAUAAUAUAUAUGAGGAGUUAUAUGGUGCUUGUCCGGAUGUGAAAAUUUGGAUUGGUAAUGUUACAAUGGAGCAGAAUUUUUUUAUUCAAGAUGCAACAUCUUAUCCUCUUAUUUUGGGACAACCAUAUAUUAUUAUAAUUCGGAUGGAAACAAAGGUACUUGCUGAUGGUUCAGCUUAUGCAUGAAUUCGUAGUGAGGAUGGAAGGAGGGCAGUACAGUUUUUGACUGUGCCUCCAAAUCAUGAGCGGAAUCGAGACAAAUUGAGAGAAAAUCCAUUGCCAAGGAUUGUUGAAGAAUUCAAGGAUUUUUUGGAGGUACCACUAUAAAGCGAGAUUAUAGAGGUACAAAAAGAGAGAUAUUCUUACAAGAUGUAGGUGCCUUUAAUGGAGGAUUUAUUAGUAUUUUUGAAAAUGGAAGCAUUAUGCAUAAGAAGAUUGAUGACUUAAAAAGAAAAGAAAGAAAGGAAUUAAGUACUAUUGAAAGAGAAUUGUAUAGGUUAGGAAUAUUAUAAGAUAAUGAAAAGAUUACUGGUAUUUAUGAAGAAAAUGGAGUGGAAGAUCUUUUGGAAUUGAUUGCAUCUAUUGAAUUAGGUAAUGAUGAUAAAGUUAUACCAAUUCAUUUAAGAGAAGUUUAUGAUAUGAUUAAAUCUUUUCAAGCACUGGAGAUUAUAGUUGAGACAAAAUAUAAGACAAUAGAUAAGAAAGUUAAACUGGUUGCCAGACCUUUGCUUAAAGAUUCUAAAAUACAAAUGGGAGAAGCAUCAAGAGAAAGGAGCUUGAAAAAUCAAAAGAAUAUUAGUCACAAGUUUACUAAAGAAACUUUUGAAGAAUUAAAUAUUGAUUCUGAUGGUUCUUUAUUACCAAAAGAAAUUAUCUACUUCAAAGAGAUGUUGGCAAAAUAAGGUAGAUCAUUUGCCUUUGAAUCUUAUGAAAUUGGAUAUGUGGAUCCAAAUAUUGUAAUACCUAUGGUAAUUUUUACUGUACUACAUGUACCUUGGAAUCUAAGACCAAUUUCAAUACCAAAGGCACAUUUACUAAGCUUGAUAGAAUUAUUAAAAGAAAAGAUAAAGAUGAAGAUUUUGGAGCCCUCUUUUGCACCAUAUUCUAGUCGAUGGUUUACAGUGCCUAAGAAAAAUGGGUCAUUACGUUUUAUUUAAGAUAUGCAACCAGUGAAUGCAGUAACUAUCAAGAAUGUAGGAAUUGGACCUAUAGUAGAUGAAUUUACUGAGGUAUUUGUAGGAAAGGCAAUCUAUUCAAUAGGUGAUUUAUAUUCGGACUAUGACCAAUUUCAACUUCUAGAAGGAAGUAGAGAUAUGACAAUGAUGAGAACACCACUUCAAUUAGUUCCAAUGUGUAUUCUUUUUCAAGGCGCAACCAACUUAAUUGUACAUAUGAUGAACAAGAUGAAUAAGGUAUUGAGAAAUUUUAUUCGAGAGAAGACUAUGCCUUUUCUAGAUGAUGUUUUUAUAAAGGGAUGCAAAGAAGAAGACAAGAAUGAAACUUUAGAUAAGAACAGGUGUCGCAAGUAUGUUGCUGAUUAUAUACAAGAUUAUAAAAAAAUAUUGACUCGGCUUGGAGAAGUUCAUCUUACAUUAUUGGGUACAAAAUCUACAUUUGGAAUACAAGAGAUUGUGAUUAUUGGACAUUUGUGUAGAUUUUAUGGAAAAAAAUCAGAUCCAACUAAGGUUGAUGCGAUUGGAAGAAUGAAAGAAGAUUGUAAUUCUUUAACAAAUGUUCGUAGGUUUUUAGGUGCAUGUGUAUUUUAUCGUAUUUAGAUUCCUCAUUAUGUACAUAUAGUAGAUCUAUUAUAUGAACUAUUAUGCAAGGGCUAUCGAUUUAAAUGAGAAGAAAAGCAUAUUAAAGUAGUACAAAGAUUGAAGAAAUUAUUGAUAUCGCCUCCAGUGUUGAGAAAAAUUGAUUAUAAGUACAAUAGACUAGUCAUUCUUACUGUGGAUACUAGUCCAAUUUCCAUUGAACGGGCUAUUGUCACAGACACAGAAAUACAGACUCGAGAUCUAACAAGAAGUUCAAGAAGAACUGGCAAGAAUUAGAUUAAUCAGAUGAGAACAACACUAGAGAGGUGAGCUAGAGCUCCAAGAGAUGUGUUGUCGAGAUUGAAGAACUCUUCAACCUUGAUUCCAAUAUAUACUCCUAUUUAGGAAGCUUCUCAAGUAACUUCUACCAACAAGGAAGCUUCUAGAAGGUUCCAGAGACUUGCUUCUAGAAGGUUCUAGAAACUUAUCUCUAGAAGGUUCUAAGGAUUAUGUUCCUAACAUCACCCCUUCUUUUAGCUUCGAGGUCUCUGAGAAGCAAUGUUAUUGAUCAGUACCAACGCAAGAAAAUGAAGAUCUGUCGCAUAACGUCUGCUAUGAACUCCAACUGUUGUUCAUGAGGCAAGUGGUUCGUCGGCCAUUGAAGCCAACGGUAGUGGCCCACUCCUUCAACUUCUGACCAAGCAUGAACUUCCAUGUCCUCAUUAUGAAAUUAUCCUACAAACACGCCUCCUGGCUAACCAUCGUAAGUAGGCUCGAACUCAAAUAUAAUUACCAGUGAUCGGUUACUCGGUAUCCUCGGUCGUCAUCAUGGUAUAGGCGGUUCUUCAUCUUGGGAUCGCCUUCGUGAGCUAGUCAGUUGAGAUAAUCUGACUGGCAUAGUAUCUAUCUCUUAGCUAUCCAUAUCAGAAGACCAAACUAUGGCUACUGAAAAAUUCUAUUUUAUCUUGGAGAAAAUAACUACAUCAACUACGAAUUUUGGUGGUGCUCUCCCCCUUCCUUAUAUUCUUGGGUGAGCAAGCUUCAGAAAGAAGCUAUCGUCAAACCGGCUUAGGUUUAUGAGGAUGUUGUUGAUGAAACUCCUGUACCUUUUGCGGCGUAUUGGCGAGAUUUUCAGCUGGCUUCCACGUUCACUCAUUAAUAUCGUAGCCGCACCAAUGAACAAGAUACUCUAACUUGCCCCUCCUUCACCAUGAAUCCAGUACCUUUUCAACCUCGUAUUCCUUGUGGUUCUCGAUCUCAAUAUUAGGUGGUAGACAUUGUACUCUUCCACGAAAAGAUGACUCUCGAUAAGGUUCUAACUGAGAAACAUGAAAGACUGGAUGUACCUUCAUAAAAGCCGGUAAUUCCAAACGAUACGCCACUGGAUUGAUUUGCUUCUAGAUGAUAAAUGGUCCCAAUCUUCGAUAGUCCAACUUAUUAUAUGGUCGCUUGGUCUUGAUAUUUUUUCGAAGAAGCCAUGCUUUAUCUCCAAUGUUGAAAGUAGGUACUUGAUUCUGAAAUCUAUCUGUUGAUGCUUUGUAGGAUUCUUCAGCCGAUUGUAAUUGAAGCUUCAACAUAUUUUGAAGCUCUGAUAGUUAUUUCACAAAUCGUUCAGCUGCUGGAUUGUUAUUUGUUGACGGACUCAAUAAAUCAAGCUUUGGAUGAUACCUAUAGUUGGAAAAGAAUGGUGUGUAUUGAGUCGACGCAUGGAGGAUGUUGUUAUAUACAAACUCGCCUAGCGGCAGAUAUGUGGUCCAAUCGUCUUACUAAUAGUUGAUGCUGCAUCGUAAGUAUUGUUCCAAGACUUGAUUCACCCGUUCCGUUUGGCCGUCAGUUUGAGGAUGAAAAGUCAAAGAAAGCUUAAUAUCCACCUUCAGUAUCUCAAAGAGAGAUCUCCAAAACUUUGAUACAAACUGGGUUCCUCGAUUUGAUAUGAUAUCAUCUGGUAGUCCAUGAUAUCGAUACACAUUAUCGAGAAAGAGCCUUGCUAUGACUUCACUGGACGAUGUCUUCUUGCAAGGAACAAAGUGUGUCAUCUUUGUAAGCCGAUCUACUACGACAAAGAUGUUGUCAAAUAAGUUCGAUGAUCGAAGGUCCAUGAUGAAGUCCAUGGAAACUGAAGACCAUGGUCGACGUGGAAUCGGCAAUGGUUGUAGGAGUCCAUAAGGGUGAUGUCGAGGAUUCUUGGAUCUUGAACAGAUAUCGCACGAGAGGACAAAAUCUUUCACAUCCUUCCACAUUUGGGGCCACCAAAAAUCUCGAGAAAUAAGCUCCAUGGUCUUGUUGAAUCCAAAAUGUCCCGCAGCUGGAAAAUCAUGGCAAGAUUAAAGAACUCCAAGUCGUGCUGGUCCUUUUGGAAUAUACAACCGCUCCUCAAAGUAUAAAAGAUCUCCCUCCACCUUGAAUUUGUCAUCAUUGGCACGCUCCUUGAUAUCAAUGGCUACUGAAUCUUUAAUGGUCGUGGCAUGUAUCUGAUUCAAGAAGUCAGCAUCAAUUGGCACAAAAAUAGCGCAAAGCCGAAAUUGCUCUGGCUUCAACAAUGUCGUACAUUGUUGAUCAAACCCUACUUCUCCAACCUUUGGUACAAGAUAUAAUCUCCUCGAUAAGGCAUCAGAUAGUUCUUGCUGCUUUCCAGGUCGAUAAGUGAUAACAAAAUCAAACCUAGAUAGCAACAUACUCCACCGAGCUUGACAUCAAUUUAGAACUCGAGCCGACAUGAAAUACUCCAAAUUCUUGUGAUCUGUGUAUACGGUCAGUGGGUGUACAGCUCCUUCAAGAAAAUGACGCCAUUCUUGGAAAGAAUCCACUAUAGCAAGAAGUUCCUUAUCAUGGAUCUCAUAAUUGAUUUUAGCAGCAGAGAACUUUUGAGAAUAGAAUGCAACCGGAUGGAGCUUCUUGUCUUCUCCCAUUUAUGAAAGUACAGCUCUCAAAGCAAAAUCCGAAGCAUCAAUUUCUAAAUAAAAGGCCUUUGUAAAAUCUGGAUGUACCAAGAUUGGAGCCGUAGUAAAUGCGGUCUUCACAUCUUGAAACGCCUUCUUUGCUAGAGGUCCCCAUUCUAGCUUAUCUUUGGAUGUCAAUCAAGUGAGAGGAGCAGCAACUUGACAGUAAUUCUUGAUAAAGAUCCGAUAGAAGUUGGCAAAGCCAAGAAAGCAUUAUACAUCUCUCACCGUCUUUGGAACCUCCUAGGACACGAUUGCUUCCACCUUCUUGGGGUCCAUCUUCAAGCCUUCCGUAGUCGCAACGAACCCCAAAAAUUCCAUCUCUAUUUAGUGAAAUAAACACUUCGCCAACUUGGCAUAUAGUCCUCACUCGUGUAGUUUCUCCAAGACCAAAUGAACGUGCUUUUCAUGCUCUUCCUCAUUUUUGGAGAAUAUCAAAAUAUCAUCCAAAUAGAUGACAAUAAAAUCAUCAAGGUACUCUCCGAAAAUGUCAUUCAUCAUAUGUUGAAAGACCACUGGAGCAUUGGUAAGACCAAAGGGCAUGACAUUAUACUCAAAAUGGCCAUACCUUGUAUAGAACGUUGUCUUCCACUCAUCUCCUUCUUUGAUUCGUACGAGGUUGUAAGCUCCCGUUAGAUCAAUUUUUGUAAAGAUCCUUGCAUGUCCAAAUUGUUCUAAGAGACCAAAAAUCAAGGGUAACGGGUAACGAUUCUUCUUUGUUACCUUAUUGAGGCCUCGAUAGUCCACGCACAUCCGUAAUGAGCCAUCUUUCUUCUUCACAAAUAAGAUGGGUGCUCCAACUGACGAUUUUGAAUGACGGAUGAAGUUCUUGGUUAGAUUCUCGUCAAUGUACUUCCGCAACUCCUCUAACUCUGUCUGCGAUAGAUUGUAGAUUGGGCCAAAAGGCGGUUGUGCUCCUUCCUGUAAGUCUAUGGCGCAAUCAUAUGGUCUGUGUUCCAGUAGCAUGUCGACAUUUUUCUUUUGAAACACGUCUUUAAAAUUCUUAUAUUGCUCCGAUAUACUUGCUGUCGAGAUCUUCUUCCCAGUAGUUGGAGCCGCAUAAAUGACAAACGGUGUGCCUUCCUUGGACAAUCUUAUAAAUGCUCUUGCUCCAAUAAAUAAAGAUUUCUCUAUUCGGGGUUUUCUACUAAGCUUGCUCUUGGGUGGUUUUGUAGGAAAGGUCAUCUUCCGCAACUUCCAAUCUAUAGAUGGAUUAUCCUUUUUCAACCAGGAAAGACCAAAAAUAAUAGAAUUUGAUGGGGUUCUAAUAAUAUUGAAAAUAAUAUGACUACUAUGGCCCUUAAACGUCACUUCUAUAGGUUCUGAUUCAUGGGUGACACUACCAGACAAUAAAGGUCGCCCAUCUAUGACCUCAACUUGAACAGGUUUGGAUUUUUAUACUAAAGGGAUCUUAUGAUGCUUCACAAAUUCUUUGUCUAAGAAACAAGCAGAUGCUCCUGAAUCUAAUAAUGCUAAGGUUCUCAGUUUUUGAGGGCUAAUAAACAAAGGGAUUGUAAAACAAAAGGCAGGUUGAGCGAAAAGAAAGGAACCUGGUUGUUGUUGCGAUAUUUCACUGUCUAGCCGCACGAUUCCUAUUGUGGCUGGGUAUCCUCAUUUUCCUGAAUAAACGCGCUCCUAGUCUUGAUAAUACGUCGAUUUUGCUUCUUGGGAUAGUUUCCAAAUUUGUAGCCUUCUUCACCACAAUACAAGCAUAGACCUUCCUCCAUACGCCACUUUUUUUCUUUGAGAGUAAGGGAUUUGACACGUACCGCAUCAAUUUGUAUGUCUUCUACCUCUGAAUAUAAAUUCACGUUGCUUGCCGACAUAGUUGGUGCAUGAAAAACCGUACGUUUUCUUGAACGUUGGUCUUGACAGCAUUAGAAUAGGCGGUUAUUGUACUUCACAACUUGACUAAUAGCUUUGUUGAGCGUUUGCGGAUCAGGAAGAGUUAACAACAAAUCCUUCAUAUCGUCCCUUAAACCCCAAUAGAAUUGACUCAUCAACGCUUCUUUGUCCCAAUUGAUGUCGCAUGCUAAUUGCCUGAAGUCCAAUGCAUAGACUGAUGUAGAGCACAUUCCUUAUCAUAGUGACCGGAUCUUUGUUCUAGUCCAUCAAACCUUGUCGUGUUCACCAAAUGCUUCCACAAAUGCCUCCAAAAAGGUUUCAAAGUUGUUUAGUAUGGACGAUCGUUUCUCAAACAAAGGAACAAACCAUGAUAGAGCUUGUCCUGUAAGUAAGGUUCCAACAAGCCCAACACGUGACUCCUCCGUUAGAUAGCGUUCGGGAUGUAAAACUGUUAUCAACCUGAUUUGGUUGACGAAUCCUCGAAACUUGGAAUGCGUACCAUCGAACUUGUCUGGAAGGCUAACUCAAGGCUCCUUAUGUUAUAGAACCAGCGGUACUUGUCGAACCUGAGGCAAAGUUGCUUCUCCAAGUGUAGAAGUUUGAGGCUGGUGCAACCUAGAUUGUGCCACCCCAGAUGCUCCAUCAUUAUGAAGCUUUGCCACGACUCCUUCAAUCUCUGCAGUUCUUUGUGAUAACAUAGCGAGGGCAUUCAUGAUAGCAUUCAACUUAGACUCCAAACUUUCUGUCAUACUAAUGUCUUGGCCCUCGGCCAUUCUAAGAGAAAGACAGAAAUGACUCUACAAGAAGACAAUAUUGGUUUAGAGGAGGGUACUCCGCAACCUCUAAAAUGCCUUAAGAACUUCAAAAAAAUGAGUAAUCCACUCUCUCCAAGAAAAAUAAGACUCUAAUAUUGUAACAAAAGAAGUAUCAGUUUAGAGGAGGGUAAUCCGCAACCUCUAAAAUGCUAGUACACUUCCAAGCAAAGGGAUAAUCUACACUCUAACAAAGAAGAAACUAGCUCUGAUAUGUGAGAUGAGUGAAGUUUCGACAAACUGUCACGAACACAAAAAUACAGACUCGAGAUCUAACAAGAAGUUCAAGAAGAACUGGCGAGAACUAGAUUAAUUAGAUGAGAACAACACCUGAGAGGUGAGCUAGAGCUCCAAGAGCUGUGUUGUCGAGACUGAAGAACUCUUCAGCCUCGAUUCCAAUAUAUACUCCUAUUUAGGAAGCUUUUCAAGCAACUUCUAUCAACUAGGAAGCUUCUCAAGCAACUUCUAUCAACUAAGAAGCUUCUAGAAGGUUCUAGAGACUUACUUCUAGAAGGUUCUAGAAACUUAUCUCUAGAAGGUUCUAAGGACUAUGUCCCUAAUAUCUUCUACCAACUAAGAAGCUUCUAGAAGGUUCCAGAGACUUGCUUCUAGAAGGUUCUAGAAACUUGUCUCUAGAAGGUGCUAAUGAUUAUGUCCCUAAUAGCUAUAGGCCAGGAUGACUCAAAUGGACAUAGAUUUGUAGUGCAAUUUGGAGCUAAAAUUUUAAGUACUCGCAAACGUGCAUAUUCACAGGUGAAAAGGAAACUAUGGAAAGUUAUUUCAGCUAUGAAAGCUUAAAAGAAUUAUUUGAUUGGAACUAUGGAGGUAAUUAAAAUAGAUUAUUUGCCUUUACUCGGAAUGAUAAUCAAUUGUACAACACCAGAUAUUACGAUGUUGAGAUGGAUUACUUAUAUCAAAUCAUUAAAUCUAAAAUUUAGAGAUGUUGUGAGGAAAGACAAUUCGAUAGUAUAUAUGUUAUCUCGAGUAAUAUAUGAAAGAAAAGAUGAGAUGGUUGAAGAUAUUGAUGAUAUUGGAAUAAAAUUCUAUUUUGUAUCAAAUCUUAAUAAAAAAGAGAAGAUGUUUUUGAAGAGCUUUAUGAAAAAAAAUUACUAGAAAUUGGUCUUUAUUUGAAUACCUUGACUAAAUAAGACAAUUGUUCAAUAAAAAAAUUUAAUCAAAUAAAAAAGAAGGCUUAUGGAUUUUUGCUUCAAAAAGGGUUUUUAUGGAAGAGACCAAAGAAAGGAAUUGGAAUGCCAAGACGAGUAGUAGGUACUAAAGAAGAUCAACAAAGACUACUCAAAGAAUUUUAUGAGAAUCUAUGGAUGGGACAUAGAGGAAUUUGGGCUACUUUUGCUAAAAUGAAGGAAUGAUAUUGGUGGAAGAAUAUGUAUCGAGAUAUAACUUUGUUUGUAGAGUCUUAUGUAACUUAUCAAAUGUAUUCAAAUAUAUAACAUUGAGAUGGGUUGCAUUUCACAUAUCCUUUGGCUAGUCAUUUUAAAUGGAUUGUGGAUUUGGUUAUUAUGUCGAUGGAAUUAUGGCAAAUGAGAUAUUUAAUUUUGGCUUGUGAAGAUUUAUCAAACCAAAUAGAAGGCAUGGCACUAAGAACAAAAUCCACAAGGAAAUUUGCAGGUUUUUACUUGAGAAAGUUAUUUGUAGCUAUGGAUGUGUGAAAAGGAUCACUGCAGAUCGAGGAGAAUUGGAUGCACAUGAAGCUCAUGAUUUUUUUUAGAGAUGUGAGAUCAAAUUAUCAUUGACUACUUCCUAUAAUCCAGAGGGGAAUGCAAAGAAUGAACGUGGGCAUCCACCAAUUGUAAAAGCCUUAGUUAAAGCUUGUAAUGGAAGAAUGAGAGAAUGGCCUCGACUUCAAUCUUAAGCAUUAUGGGUUGAUCAAAUAACACUUAGUUCAGUGACAGGAUAUAUACCAGUGGAACUUAUGACAGGUCAAAAACCAAUUAUGUCGGUUGAAGAAAAUGUACCAACUUAGAAUAUGCUACCAUGGAAAGAUGGAUUGACAAGAGAGGAAUUGUUAGCCAUUAGAAUUUGGCAACUUGAACAAAGAUCAUAAGAUAUAGGAUUAGCAUUAAAAAGGUUACAAAAGACAAGGUUGGGAAAUAAGACUCGAUUUGACAUGCAACAUCAAUUGAAACCUAGAGCAAUUGAAGAAUGUGAUUGGAUACUUGUUUAUGAUAGCAAUUUGGAUAACCAACAUAGUACUUUGCAAAAGUUUUCGAAAUAUUGGUUUAGACCAUAUGUGAUAGUAAUGGUUCAUGAUAAUGCCACAUAUUCAUUAAGGGAGUUAGAUGGUACGAGGUUGAAAAUAUCUAUUGUUGGAAAGUGAGUGAAGAUUUUUAAAAGACAAGAUAGAGAAAUCAAUAUGGAGGAUCAUGCUGAAGAUAUUGGUAUUUUUAAAGAAGAUAAUUAUUUUGAAGAAGAUGAUAAAAAUAGAAAUGAAGGAUUUGAUGAAGAAAAUGAAGAGAUAGUGUGAUGUUAAUUAUGACAUAUGGUUCAUUUGGCACAUGUCAAAGGAUGCACAGAGUAAGAAGGGGUGGAUGUCAUGAUGUAAUACGACUAUAUAGUGAAAUUAUAAUCAAAAUUGAAUUUCUAAUUAAUAUCUAAUUAUCUUAGUUUAAUUAUAAUUUGAGGUAUCUAAACAUGGUUUUUAUAAAAGUCUCUUAAGUUAAUUCCUUAUCUUAAUAGUUAGUAGAUUGAAGGUUAGUUAAUAAUUUUUCCUUCUAGGUUGUAGAGACUCUUCUACUACCUUAGAAAGACCAUAAAUUAAUGAAAUCAGAUUAAAAGAGGUAAAUAAUUAGUAUAGUUGGUACUAAGAUUAAGUUGAGAGUAGGAUUGGACUUAAAAAUCCUUAGGAUAGGAUAGAUUGAUACCUCGGGGUCGACCUUUUAUGAGACAGGGUCAAAAUCAAAUCUUUAGCCACUAAAAUGAUGGCUUAGGGUAAAAUAGGAUUUCAUUCAAAGAUCAGAGGUUAGGAUUUGAGAGUUGGCUUGAAUUUCUUUUCAAAGACAUAAGAAUUGUUUUGAGAGGCUUUUAGAGAAUUUAGAAAUUGUUAUUCAAAGUCAGGGUUUGUAUCAAUGAUUUGGAUUUUAUAUAAUGUAAUUAGGGCUAGCAAUUUUAGCUAGUACGUGCAAUUGGCAUAACAUCUAUAGUUGAAAAUUUGUUAUUUUUUGGAUUAUUAAGUGUGCUAAGUGUAUACAAAAUUUUGUGAUAAUCUAACGGUGUGGUUUAGAGAUAUCUAGUUUUCAGCACAAGAGGGUUUUAGAAGGUGGAAGUUUGACAUUGGAUAGGAUUUCUAUGAUAUCUAAAGAUCUAUUAGUCAGAUUAAGGUGAAAAUUGGCAUGGUGUUGGAGGACUUAAAGAUCAAGCUACUCACCAAUUUUGAGA
Molecule: long non-coding RNA, 13262 nt
Filed under: Physcomitrium patens
Lineage: Eukaryota; Viridiplantae; Streptophyta; Bryopsida; Funariales; Funariaceae
Description: long non-coding RNA (PPAT_LNC005621)
Source: RNAcentral